GAUGAACGCUGGCGGCGUGCCUAAUACAUGCAAGUCGAGCGAACAGACGAGGAGCUUGCUCCUCUGACGUUAGCGGCGGACGGGUGAGUAACACGUGGAUAACCUACCUAUAAGACUGGGAUAACUUCGGGAAACCGGAGCUAAUACCGGAUAAUAUAUUGAACCGCAUGGUUCAAUAGUGAAAGACGGUUUUGCUGUCACUUAUAGAUGGAUCCGCGCCGCAUUAGCUAGUUGGUAAGGUAACGGCUUACCAAGGCAACGAUGCGUAGCCGACCUGAGAGGGUGAUCGGCCACACUGGAACUGAGACACGGUCCAGACGCCUACGGGAGGCAGCAGUAGGGAAUCUUCCGCAAUAGGCGAAAGCCUGACAGAGCAACGCCGCGUGAGUGAUGAAGGUCUUCGGAUCGUAAAACUCUGUUAUUAGGGAAGAACAAAUGUGUAAGUAACUAUGCACGUCUUGACGGUACCUAAUCAGAAAGCCACGGCUAACUACGUG
RNAcentral lists this ribosomal RNA (497 nucleotides) under uncultured bacterium. Its description in RNAcentral is "partial 16S ribosomal RNA". It matches the Rfam family "Bacterial small subunit ribosomal RNA", at positions 28 to 507 of the family's 1533-position model. The record is from RNAcentral.